GCUCCAAUAGCGUAUAUUAAAGUUGUUGCAGUUAAAAAGCUCGUAGUUGGAUUUCUGGCAGGGAGUCAAUGCCGCAAGUUGCGUGUGCAGAGAAUUCCUACCAUCCUUCUGUUAACCUUCUAGUUAUUUGUUUAACUGUUGGGAGCCAGAUAAUUUACCUUGAGAAAAUUAGAGUGUUCAAAGCAGGCUUAUGCCGUUGA
This 200-nucleotide ribosomal RNA is filed under the name uncultured eukaryote. Its description in RNAcentral is "partial 18S ribosomal RNA". It matches the Rfam family "Eukaryotic small subunit ribosomal RNA", at positions 588 to 798 of the family's 1831-position model. The record is from RNAcentral.